Long non-coding RNA from Herpailurus yagouaroundi (jaguarundi), 3303 nucleotides. RefSeq lists it as uncharacterized. NCBI's taxonomy places the organism in Eukaryota, Metazoa, Chordata, Mammalia, Carnivora, Felidae. The transcript has 4 exons. The record is from RefSeq and is a predicted model, not a curated record.
GUUGUGACUUGCUCUAGAGGAUAUACUUCCAAGAUGGCUCACUCACAUAACAAGUCAGUGCUGACUGUUUGCUGGGAACUCAACUGAACCUGUCAGCCAGGGGUCUUGAUUAUUCUCCACAUGAGCCUCUCCACAUGGUUGCUUGGGCUUCCUCACAACAUGGUGGCUGGAUUUCAAGAGUCCCUCCACAUUGCACUUUGAAAAAGCAGUUCUCUCAAGAGAUAUAAUGAAGGAUAUUGGAAUGGCAUGCCCUGGGAAGCUGCUCUUGGCCCGGUCUUCAGAAGCACUCAUGUGCAGAGUUAUUCCUUUAGGAAAGUUACAUAUCAGCAGAGGUCAUCAGCCAGAUAAAAUCCAAGGAAUAACCAGGCACUUGAAGCAGAGAGCAGAGAAGUGGUGAAGGUCAAGUGACUAUUUACUGAUGAUGUUGGAAACGUCUUUGACAGUUGCUGCUUCUCAAGCUGAAGGCAGGAGUCAUGUUGAUACAAAACACUAUUACAACUCUUCUUGAAAAGAAGAAAAAGAUUUUCACAAAUGCUUCCCUUCUCGUUUAUUGUCACUACCGUUUUUCCCCAGACUACUCUCAUUCUCGGCCCACGUAGGAAAUCAGAAGAUAAUUUAAAAUUAAAUGAUGAUGGCUCAGAGCUUCAAGCACUUAAAAAGAGAGAGGAAAGAAACGCAUCACAUCUUGACAGGGCUGCGAGUGAGGGCUGGAAGACUGCCAAGGAAGCCCAGAAGAGCCAUUGGCAAGAGGGGCUUUGGUACUUUGUGUGACCAGAGGGGACCUGUGCGACAUUCUCCCUCAUGCCCUGGGAUGGGCAUUUGAAGUCAUGAAAACCUAGGGAAGAGUUGAGAAAUAAUGGAAAGCAGGUGUACACAGAGCAUUAGUGAGUUGGGAAAAUCAGGUUGAACGCUUGAUUUACUAGUUACCGUCUUGUAAUAUAAACUUUCUAGGCAUUUCUUCCUGUACCUAAAAUAGCCUCACAGAAUAUGAAGAAAUAAAAUAAAAUUAUAUGUAUGUAUACACACAUAUACUUAUAUCCAUAUAUAUAUAUCCAUAUAUAUAUAUAUCCAUAUAUAUAUAUAUAUAUACAUACACCUAUAUAUGUGCAUGUGAUGUGUAUAUAUCACACACCCCACAUGCACAUAAUUUUUAAUCAGUACAGGGGUUGACAUAUAAAACACUUCUUCUAGUAAUGGUAUUAACUAUUUUUAUUAUAGGAUGUAAAGCCAGCUCUUCAGCUUACUUUAGCAUGAGUUCUACUUGCCCAUAUGUGAUGAUAUGCAAAUCACAAAAAGGGCCCUCCCGUUUAGCAUUUUCCAUAUCUUUGCGAGGUUCUCUGACUGUUAGAAGUAAAAAAAGCAUAGGUGUCAGAGUCUGACAAGUCAGAAUUCAAAUUUGUGCUCUGCCACUCACGAGCCAUAAAACCUGGGACACGUUACCUUUCUGGGUCUCAGAGUCCACAUCUGGAUAAUGGCGUUAUUUAUUAUUUCACACCAUGGCUGGGAAUUUUAAUGAGGUGAAAAGUAUGUAACAGUGCUGAGCAGAUUGCCUGGCAUAUAACAUACACUAAAUCAGGGGUUGGCAGACUUCUGCCCAGGACCAGAUAGUAAAUAUUUUAGGCUGUGCAGGCCUAACUACUCAAGUUAGUCAUCAUAGCAUGAAAGCAGCCAGAGACAAUAUGUAAAAGAAUGAGUGUGGCUGUGUUCCAAUAAAACUUUAUUUAAAAAAGACCUGUGGGUCACUCUGGGCCUGUGAUCUGUAGUUUGCAAAUCCAAGCACUUAACCAAUAUUAGUUUCUUCCUCUUUCCCCACUUGUCUUCUCGGAGAUUUAGGUUUUCCAUAUGUGUAAUGUUGAAAAUGUUAGUUUAUUUAUUCAGCAUCUGUUGUGUACCAAGGACCGCAUAAAGCACAAUGAAGAACAGAAUGAAUAAAUUUUGCUUUUACCCGUGAGGGGCUUAAGGAAUAACAGAAAAUGUUUAACUUAUCUAAGUUUGGUCUUUCUUCUUAGCCAGAAAGUGAUUUAAAAGUAUUUAUUUCAUGGAGCUUUCAUGACAAAGAAUUAUGUUUAAGUGUAGAUGCAGUGGCAGCCAUCGUGGAAAAACGGUUAUGGGACUUAGCCUUUCUUCUCUGAAGAACUGUAAAACUGGGCAAAGUGUAUGAAUAAACUGUUUUCAGACGUUGGACAACAGAUAGCACAGGACUGCGAUGCUUGAGAUAGGGAAAACACCAUAUUUUACUACAGCUUUCUGCCUGGGGCCACCAUCCAAACCUCAGCUCAAAUAAGUGAAGCCCAAAUGAAAACAAGUUGAGCCCAAUUUUUUUAAAAAGUGUGUUUGUUUCUUUUUGAGCAGUGGUAUCACUGACUAGAGGCAGGAGAGAGUAGAGUUUGGGGCUGCUGAUGUAGCAGGAAGUUACAGAUCAGGGUACUGAGGAGUAGACAGAUACAUAAGAUGGCUUCAGAAAUCUGCAUCAGGGUCUCCUUGAGUUUUGGGGUGAAGAGAAAGCUGGGUAUGCAUAGAUCAAGAUUCAGUAAGAUGAGGCAGAAAAUAGCUAUUGGAUAACUGAACUGAGCAGAAUCUUGGAGGUUGCAUAGUACAGGAAGAUGGAGUUACACCAUCCAACGUGGAGGGACCUCAUAAACACCCUGGGCAUUCAGUUGAGACCCCUCAAAAUGUAUAACUGAAGAGUAGGGCUACUCUAGAUUCAUCAUUAAAAAAGCUUAAAACCAAACCCUGAUAGAAUAAAGCUGAUCUGUCAAUAAAUUAAAUGCCAUAACAAAAUACAAUAGUCUUAAAAUUCAGACUUCUAUAACAGCAUAGAAUCCAUAAUUGAGUAUACAUAAUAUAUGAGAAGAUAUGCAAGGAAGUAGGAAAAUGUGACACUUAAGUAGGAGAAAAAUGAGUCAAUAGCAACAGACCCAGAAAUAAGCACAGAUCUUGAAAUCAGCCGAUCUGUUGCUCUUUUUUUUUUUCUUUUGCCACACCCACCUCCCUUCCAGUGCCCGAUCCCUAACCCCUAGCAACCACUAACCUGUUCUCUAUUUCUAUGAUUUUUUUCAUCGCAAGAAUAUAAUAAAUUAAAUUACAUAGUAGUCAACCUUUGGGGAUUUGCUUUUUGCACUUGAUUUAAUUCCCUGGAGAUACAUUCAAGUUGUUGCAUGUAUUGAUAAUUUGUUCCUUUUAUUACUGAGUAAUAGUCUAUAAUGUGGAUGUAUCAUUGUUUGUUUCACUGCUCAUCCAUCGAAGGGCCUCUGGAUUGUCCCCACUUUUUGGCUAUUACAAAUAAAUCUAUGUACAUAUGUG